CCGGGAACGGGCCCGCGGCGCCGCCGCUGCUCGGGGCCGCAGCCGGGGCGGGGACCGGAGUGUCUCCGCCGAGGAGGCGCCUUUCCAGGAGUUCGAGGACCUGCUGCCCUCUCGAGAGUCAGGGUGGUGCGGGUGUCACACGGGAUGGAGUGGUCUCAGCCCUUUUUCUUUCGUGUCGGGACCAUAAUAGCGAUGAAAGGGGAAAAAAAUCUUCCAGUGCUGGAACGUACCACCUUUGAAGCUGCAGGCAGCCACAGCAGGCUGGCUGCGGUCUGCACAGCGUGCUAAUGCCUGCCCUCUGCAAAAGCAGGAAAGGUGCUUGCUGCAGCUGCUGCUAGAACGUCACCUUGUGAAUGGGAUUUGUACACUCUGUUUAGACUCAUUGUACAGAGUUAAGGGUAUUUGAAAUAUUUAAGGGUAUUUGGAAACUAGUUGUGGAAUCCUUUAUGUGCCUUUCCUAGAUACUGUAUGUAGGAAACACUUGCCAUGGAAGAUCGUGACCAAAAGUAUUAUUGGUAGAGUUCAUAUACUGCUUAUGUUUAACAUGAUAUUUAUCUGCAAGAUUUUGCAUUAAGAUAGGCAGUCACACUCAGGAAUCUUAAAUCCUUUCCUUUUGAUUUUCCUGUGGCUGACAGUUGAGAAUUUGUGUGGACAUAGAAUGUAAAGUUUGUAUACUGGUUUUAAGAAAUGUUAAAAAAAAUAGAUACAUUUAUCAUGCUUCUGCAGAGAUGCUACUUAUUUAGCAGCUUUAAAGAAGUGUUUUGGUUUGAUGACCUAAUGCUUUUAUCUAUAAUUAUUUAUAGGUAAUAAAUUUGAUACAGGGAGUUAAAUUGCUUGUGAAUAAUUGAUAAAUAAUAUUUCAGUACAUCUGAUAAACCAAGCUCUUUUUUUUUCUUUUUUUUUUGUCUCAGGCACAUGUUAGUCUUCUAGGUAUUCAGAUAUAAAAAAAAAUCUAAAUACUCCUCUGGGUUGUUUCAGAGCAAUGCAUUAACAUAUUUGACAAUGCUGGAAGCUGCACAAGUAAGUCAUCAUCGGUAGCUCGAAGAGAAGAAGUAUGCUGCUGUUGUAGCCAAGGUACAACUGAGGUAGUUUUAAAUUUUCUUGACAAGAUGUUUGUAGUAUUAGUUGUGAGAAGAUACAUUUGUAAAGAGCGCAGAGCAGCACCAGGGAGCAGAGACACCACAAACCAUCUGUAGGAUUCCUCACCGCAGCACUACGCAGCCACUGAAAGCUUCCAAGCUUCUUGUACUUCUGAUUGACAAUGCUCCUUUUUUUUUUUUUUCUUUCAGUGAGGCUCUAAGGAACUGUAUUGUGUCUGGAAUUGGAAUGACCAAACUUGAAGACUUCAGAGAAUCUCAUCAUGGCAAUCCUGACAGCUGCUUUUAAUUGCAAAUAAUGUGGCUGCAUUUUAAAAUAGAAGAUUAGGACAAACACUUACAUCACUUGCAUUUACUAUAUCGUCUUGCCAGAUGAGGCAAAAGGUUUAGUAUAAAAUUAAAAGGGUUUUUUUCCACUUUA
This is a long non-coding RNA of Prinia subflava (tawny-flanked prinia), 1518 nucleotides long. RefSeq lists it as uncharacterized. The transcript has 2 exons. The record is from RefSeq and is a predicted model, not a curated record. Lineage: Eukaryota; Metazoa; Chordata; Aves; Passeriformes; Cisticolidae.